Molecule: long non-coding RNA, 959 nt
Organism: Numida meleagris (helmeted guineafowl)
Lineage: Eukaryota; Metazoa; Chordata; Aves; Galliformes; Numididae
Exons: 4
Source: RefSeq, a predicted model, not a curated record
ACCAUUGUUUCCUACUCCGCCUCUUUCCUUCACAAUUUCCAGUGACAUCCUGACUGUAUGGGAAGUGCAAGCUUACCAGGAAAAAGAAAAUCAAAAAGAAUGAGAACAGCUUAGAAACAUGGAAUGCUAAAUUAAACCCUGAGAGAUGCUUAGAUGAUACACUGUGAAGCACUAGCAGCACUCUACCUCAGAAGAUUUUUAAGAAAAGAAGGGUGGACACAGACUGACUUUCAUUAACAUCAAGUAAGGCCUCCUAUUAAGCAGGAGACCAGAGAAGCAGAACUUGAAACACAAGAAUAGAGCGUUAUGCUCUCAGAUGCUGUUCUCUGGUUGCAGAACCUGCAGAGGAGUGGAAGCCCACAGAGAAGCUCCACUGAGCUCCGGCAUCUUUGCAGAGAUGGACUUCUCAGAAACAAUGAACGCAAGCAAAUCAUUUUGGCACCUGGCUGCAAGUUUGUGUUGGCUCUGGAUAAACAGAGAAUUCAGUGUCUCUUCUAGGACAUUUGUUCCUGUCCAGACCAAGUUUAGAAGAUGAAUGGCACAGAAGAAAUGGUUUGUAUAGUUUUAUCUAUCUUCAUAGAGCAAAAUCAGCUGCCAUUUUGAAAACUAUUUCAUGACUUAGCCUGAACUUUGACCCUGUUUUCUACAAGAUAAUUAUCCAGUCACUGCUCCAGUUUUUGUGGUUUUAACAAAAGAGUUCAAAACUCCACAAAAGGGGACCAAACUGCAUGGACCACAGCAACAGAACUCCCAGUGGCAAAGGAAUUGUGUGUAGGUGCCCAGUUACAUGCAUAUUCUUUAAAAUUCCCCAAGCUGUUCCCAUGUGGAGCAUUAUAAACAUAAGCUUCAGCCAUGAGAGACUGAUCUGCUCUCCACUGAAAGCAGUCAACAUCUGGCCUGCAUAGCAAAACAGUUUUAGUAGGAAUUUCUGCUUUGAGUGCAAAUCUUCACUCCCCCCC